CAUCCCACAUCACCGGGAAUGUUUCAUCACGAUUCCUUGGUGGUGUUAUGUCACAUCCAAAUCACUCUGUGAUGUCGUUGCCGCAGCCCUUGAGAUGUUUAGAGACUCUUAAUAUUCUGCCAACCACAGGACAGGCAAAACACAGGGCGGGGUGGACAAGCAAUGGUGCCUCGCAGUUCAUCCUCUCACCCAACAGGCCCCACUGUUGGGUUCUCCAGCUGAUGAGUCACACCAGAAGUGAAGGGUCAUUCCUGCAUCUUGCAGGAUGAUGGACAACUUCAUUAAGCUGGAGAGGAGGGCAGAGCCAGGCAGUGUCUGGGAGAAGGACCUUGGAGCAGAAGGCUCCGUUCCUUGGCCAAACCUUCCAUUACCUUGUGUGGUCUUUGGCAACUCUCUGAACACUCCGUGCCUCAGUUUCUCAACCUGGAGAACAGGAUGAUCCCAAUCAGCAAAGCUGGAUGAGUUUGCAGUGCUGCACCCCAGAGGAGGAGGGCAGGGUCUGGACCUCCUCAUGUCCACUGAUGUCACCCCCAUCCUCUCAUACUCCCACAGGGACAUGCUGUAGAUCCCAAAUGGCCAGAGAAUGUCAUUUAUAGAACAAGCAUUAAUGCCCAAGGGUGCGGAGGCCCCAUCCCAGCACUGGCCUCUGGAUUGCUUUGUUUUCCUGCUCGGCUGAGUCGCUAACCUUGCAAUAAACACCAGAGUCAUUAUCAUAAAACUGGGGAAAAUGCUGUCAUUAAA
Molecule: RNA transcript, 741 nt
Organism: Pipra filicauda (Wire-tailed manakin)
Lineage: Eukaryota; Metazoa; Chordata; Aves; Passeriformes; Pipridae
Exons: 2
Source: RefSeq, a predicted model, not a curated record